GCCGUCUGAAAUUAGUCCCUCCCGUAAAAUCUAAGUCCUCGCGUUUGAAAAGUGUGUGAAAAUUAGUCCUCUGGCGAGGACCUGCUACACACACUUUUUCAAACUCGAGGACUUAGAUUUUACGGGAGGGACUAAUUUCAGACGGC
This 146-nucleotide microRNA precursor is filed under the name Lotus japonicus. Its description in RNAcentral is "miR11072f stem-loop (lja-MIR11072f)". The record is from miRBase by way of RNAcentral. Lineage: Eukaryota; Viridiplantae; Streptophyta; Magnoliopsida; Fabales; Fabaceae.